Long non-coding RNA from Pipra filicauda (Wire-tailed manakin), 828 nucleotides. RefSeq lists it as uncharacterized. The record is from RefSeq and is a predicted model, not a curated record. Lineage: Eukaryota; Metazoa; Chordata; Aves; Passeriformes; Pipridae. The transcript has 4 exons.
UAGAAGAUCUUGUGAGGCUGGAAUCCAGUGGAUACAUUUCCCUCAUCUGACUCAUGCUAUAGAAGCACAGCAUCACCAGAGAACUCUCCUCCUCAUGUGUCUGCCAGUACAGACCUUCCGUCACUCCUAUGGCACAGAAGGCAAACUGAACAACCCUGACUAUCUUUAAAAGCGAUGAAUUGGUUUAGGAGUUCAAAAAUAAGGCUGGCAUGAAUUUCCUUCCGGGGUCCAACCUUUCUCUUCAAGUUUGCUGAAGGUGGUCGGCUGAGACUGGUAAUUUUUAGGGCUCAAAAGUUCCCACAGGUGGCAUUCCCCACAUUUACCUCUUUUGCAGAAGACACUGCAGUUUCAAGGAGCCAGCCCAUGAGGACUUACCAUUCACUAAAUAUUGUGUCUGCAUGAUGAAGGCACUGCAUAAAAACACCGGGGGAUGGAUGCAAACAAUGUGCUGGUGAGAGUGACAAUAAAACAGAGAUGACAGCAUAAAGAGAGAAUGAUGAAUGUGUUAACACAGCUGGUGAUUUCUCUAAGUAGCUCAGAACUGCUGUCAGAAUUGUUGAAACCUGCCAGAAUUUUUUUUCUUCUUUUCUUCCCAAACACCUCCAGAGACUGAGAAUUCUCCUCCUCUGCUGCAUUCUGCUUUGUAUCUAUCUUGAAUUACUCUAUUUUGUAUUAGUUUAGAUUUAAAGGUCCAAUUUCUCUUAUCUAUCAAGGAUGAGAAAAACAGAGGAAUUGAGGCUGUUAUUAUAUGAAAAACUGGCAUUAAUGUAACAGUCUGAUUUAUUAAAAAUGGUGUUCCUAAACAGUUGAAAGAUGCUAGUCUAUAAA